CCUGAAGAACAUUUUUUAAAUGUUUUAAUACCAUUUUUCCAAAGAAAUUUAAAGACUAAACAAAAAAAGUCAUCGCUUUUCAUCCUCCUAACAAAUCUCUUAUUGUUAAGCAUGCAAAUCUUUUUCUUUUCCCAGCAAUAAUUUUGUAAUGAACAUCCUUAUACCAUAAUCUUUAUGUACAUCUCUAAUUAUUUCUCUGACACAAAUUCCUUCACAUGUGAUUUCUAGAUCCUGGAGCAUGAAAAUUUCCCUUAUUGAAAAAUGGCCUUCUAGAAAAGUCUUACCAAUUUUCAUCCUACCAGUAGUACAAGACACUGUAUCAAAAUUAGCAUUUUUUGUUAUCUUGUCUUAAUCUGUACCAAAUUAAUAAGUGAAAAUGGCAUCUUUUUAAAAUAAUUUGCAUGUCUUUGACACGUCUUUUAUAAUUUUAAUAAUGUUUAGGAUUCUUUCAUUGUUCUUCUUAUGUGAAUUUCUUCCUAGUAGCACCUCUGAUCCUUUCAUAGGGUUUGCAGGAGAAUUAAAUGAGAUAAUUCAUAUGAAGUGCUUAAUAUAGUGACUAGAAAAAUCCUAAGUGUUUGAUAAUAGUUAAUGAGUUUUAGUUAUAAUUAUGAGUAUUGAUUUGUUUUCACUAUAUAUUGCAGGUAUAAAUGUCAUCAGUAAAGAAACUCAAUUUAAAUGAAGAUAGCAUUACCAUUACUCUGAAGUUACCCAGUUAAUAGUAAAAUAAAAUUUAUCCUUUCUGUAAAGAACAUGAAAUCACAAAUCUACGGAGGGAAGUUCUUGGUAAGUAAUGUAUUCAUGCCCCCCCAAUCCCAAUAACCAUCACAAGCCCUUCCCUUUACUUUGGGAACAGAGUAGUGAGUCCAAGUCCUCGGUCCAUAGAUGGACAGGGAUGUUUCUUAUGCCAAAAAGUGUCCUGUGCACCUCUUUGCUGGAAUGCAGAGGAAUAGUGCAGCCUGCAGUGCACAUUGCUGCCAGCUACAGGGAGAGAAAUACAAGUCUGGGCCAAGUGUGACCUCAGAGGCAGGAUCAACAACAGAAGGGGCAUUGAAGGGGCUCUUGCUCCGCUUCAAAACCAGAAAGUAGGCUUUUCAGUACCUUAAAGAGAGUGCUUAAUUUUUGCUAAGAUCAUAAGUAUAAUUCCUCAUUUGGCAAUAAUUGCAGUCAGCCUCCUAAGCUAAUUCCUUGCCUCUAAAUUCUUGCGUGACCAAGCCAUCGUGACAUUGCUACAGAUUUGUCAUCCUGAAACUCAGGGUGGAUUAUGCUCUUCCCGUCUUAGAAUACUUUGGCUCUUCUUACCGCUCCACACCUUUGCUCAUGAAAGAAAGUCUGAACUAUUAGCAUAGCAUUCACUGCCCUUCUCUGUCCAGCCUUACUUUUUCAGCAGCAACUCCACCUCAUUUUUCUGCACAUUCUGUGCUCCAGAUACUAGUCUACUCACCACUUCUCACACAUGGACCAUGAAAAUAUUUGUUCCUCCAAGAUUUUGCUCAUAUUUACUGCUCCCUGAGCCUGGAAUGCCUGUCUUCCGUUCUCUGUUGACAGAGACCCUGCGUAUUCUUCAAAGUCCUGCCCAGAUUCUUUCCAUCAAAUUUAAUCAUUCCUUCCUCUGUAGUCUUAAUAUAUAAUCUAUUUGGCAUAUUUCCUUCUGCCUUGUAUUAUUGAUGGUUAUUUACACAACUGCUUUCCCCCUUAGAUUAUAAGCAUAUGAGAAAUAGUGACCAUAUUUUAAUCAUGUUUGAUUUCCCCACAGCCCAGCACCAUACUCACAAAAAGGAAGUGCCCAGUAAUUAUUUCAUAAGUUGAAUUGAAUCUUCAAUUACUAGUUUUAGUUUCUUUCUAUAUAAAUAUGACAAUUUCCUCUAUGAGAAAAAGACACUCUCCAUUGGUUCCAAAGUAGGGUUUCCAGAAAAAUACAGGACAUCCAGUUAAAUUUUUGAAUUUUGAAAUUCAAAUUUAACUGGAUGUCCUGUAUUUUUAUUUGCUAAAUCUAGCCACCCUAGUCCAAAGACAUGCCAGUUUCACCACUGUCAGGGUUAACUUCUGGGCAACAGUGAAUUUGUGUGGGCAUAAAUCUGUUUGCAUCCAAUUCUGCUGUAGCAUUGUGUUUGUAGCCACCAUGAAUCCUCUUCAUGUAAGGGGAAUAUAAUGUUUUUGGGGGAAAAAAAGAGCAGAACAAAGGUAGUCAUUUAUAACUUGAUCCUUAUGUUCUCACAGGCAAAAUAGAAUAGAUAUUUGUGGAACCCAAAUUCCAGGUAUUAGUACCAAUUCUUCAAAUAGCUAGUCGUUCUGAUCAACAAGAUGGCCAAGGUAAACCUUUGAGGUCAUUGAGACAUUCUCCUUUUGUAUCAUCACCCAGGAUGUUUCUUCAUGCUGCCCUUGGUCUCUUGUUGUCUCUCUAGCAUCCCAACCACAAUGGGGUCAUUGUGUGGGCUCUGCUUCUGCCAGCUUUCCAUGCUCAGCCCUGAGGACCCAUGUCUAUGACCAGGUGAAUGUUCCAUUCCUUUAACACUGUGUGUAAGGUGAUUCUUUUUCUCGCUAAAUUGAAAUGUUUUAUGUUAUAAAAGCAUCAUUCAAAAGGACCAGGAAAAAUGGAGUACUAACAUUUAAAAGCCUUAUAGGUGAUCUGCUUUUCCCUGAAUAAGAUCCCUGAAUGAGUGAAUAAAUGAGGAAGAAUAUGAUGUAAAUAAGGGAUGCACUAAAACAAAAUGACAAAGUUUAAAAUAAAAGGAUGGGCCAAGAUUUUUCAGCCACGUCCCAGUUAAAAUGAAGCAGAAGAGGGACCAGUCCUGAGUGGUUGAAGUUCCACGCACCCCACUUCGGCAGCCCAGGUUCAUGGGUUGGGAACCCAGGUGUGGACCUACUCCACUCAUCAGCUGUGCUGUGGAGGCAUCCCACCUAUGAAGCAGAGGAAGACUGGCACAGAUGUUAGCUCAGGGCGAAUCUCUUCACAAAAAACAAUAAAGCAGGAUAAAUUGUAUAAAAUAGAAUCCAAGUGAAAAAGAAAUGAAUAGUGUAAAAGUCAUCAAUCCACAAUAAAAAACAUAUCAUUGACCUUUAAGCACUAAAUAAAAUAGUUUUAAAAUAUAGAAAGUAAUGAUUAUUAAAAAUCAAAGCAGAAACAAAGACAUAUAGUCUGGAAGACUUUAUAGACCAUUCUUAGCCUUUGACAGAUCAUGUACGCAAAAAAUAAACAAAGGCAUAAAGAAUUUGAAAUAUAGGGAAAAAAGGAACCCUGCAAAAAAUACAUAGUUCCUUGUGUGUUUGAUACAUAUAUGAAAAUUGACAGUGUGCUAGAUUCACUAGGUUAGCCGACCCAACAAUCAUUGUAAACUUUGUAGUCUACCAUAGAGACCGGAAAACUGAAAAGGAACCUGUCUGUAGGCUCUCCUGUGGCUGGGGGUGGGCGCCCACGUGGUUCAGUUCUAGCAAAGA
Long non-coding RNA from Equus caballus (horse), 3435 nucleotides. RefSeq lists it as uncharacterized. The record is from RefSeq and is a predicted model, not a curated record. Lineage: Eukaryota; Metazoa; Chordata; Mammalia; Perissodactyla; Equidae.